RNAcentral lists this transfer RNA (81 nucleotides) under Alosa alosa (allis shad). RNAcentral describes it as "tRNA-OTHER". The record is from RNAcentral. Lineage: Eukaryota; Metazoa; Chordata; Actinopteri; Clupeiformes; Clupeidae.
GGGCUUUUAGUACAAUUGCUAGCAUGCUCGACUUCCGAUCCGAGGUGUUGUUGUUUGCGGGUUCAAGUCCAGUCGAGUCCA